GGUCCUGCAGCACCAGGAGGGAGGCCGACCUGUCGGUGGGAUGGAUCCACAGAAGCACAGCGUUGGGUGUUUGUGAGGUGCAAGCAAGUUCAGUGAGGGGAACUGGUUCCCUUUAGGAUUUCAGCUGGGGGAUGGGCGAGGGAGAUGGCGCUGGCCAGCACCUUUGUUCCCCACAGAGCUGAGCUCCAUCUCCCAGGGCUCAACAACUGUCCCCCCUAGCUCCUCUCGCCCUCCUCACUCUCCGAGAGCAGAGCUGUUGACUCUUAACAUCUGGAAUUUUAAGUCCUGCUGCCUCUCAGAAUUCACUCUGUCCGGCCCCUCUGCUUUUGCAAGUCAGACUCGGGGGCUCUGCCUUGCUGGGCAGGCUGGCUGCCCCUCCACCGCCCCGGCUCCCUCCCGCCAGUCUGUGUAGCGCGCACUGCCUCUCUGUGCUUCCUACCCUCUUCCGAGGACCUCUUGUCUAUGCUUGGCUCUGGAGAGCCCAUUCUGCUAGUCUUGUGGCAGUUUUCUGCAUUAUUUAGGCUGAUGUGGGUGGAAUCUAAGCAAUCAGCAGGACGAGCCUGAGUAUGAAGAAAACUCCAGGGUACCAAGAGAUGGGAAAGGAACAAGAACAAGAUCCCCUUCCUGAUUCUGGUUUGCUCUCUUUUGCUCUCUGCACCACUCUUUUGCAGAGAAAAUCCACUCAUCAAGGACUGAGGGCUGACUGAAUGGCUCCUGCACACCAAAAGGUCGGCCACAGAGAGAACGGCAAGAGAAACAGAGCAUGAACUAAAACAAGCAAUAAACUGCUCUAGGUGAGGAAGGAACGGUUCUUGGCCAUUACUGUAUGCAACAAGAUGACUCACACACUAAGAGUCUAAAAAAGUGAAGAUUACCAUAUAGACCUUGUAGCUCUGAUUUUUAAAGUGUUAUUCCUUAUGUCUACAAAAUUGUGAAGUACUCUAAUUCCAACUCUUAUAUGUAUAAGACACUCAAUUUAUAUGACAUGAAAUGUCAAGUGAGUUAAGUAAUUACAGGUACAUAAUGUUCAUAGGAACACACUUUGUCAUAGUUAACAACUAGGAAAAAACAAUUAGGUGUUGAUCAAUAGAGGAGCAGAUGAAUAAGUAUUAAAAUAUAGUGUAGUCAUACAAUGGAAUGUUGCAACAGAUGAACUAGCGCUUAUGUUCCAUCAUGUAUCGAUCUUAGAUAUAGGACAUUUUUUAAAUAAAAACCAAUGUUUGAGAAAUUUUCAUAUACUGUGUUAUCACUCAUGCAAAUAAAAAUAUAUAAAAUUCUGUUGUUUAUGGAUAUUUUUGAGAAAGUUAAUGUAUAAAACAGUGAACUUUGAAAUAUAUCAAGUUCAUGGUGGUGUUUGUCACAAUGAAAGGGAGUAAAAAUUCCAAAGGAAAAGUUUUAUUUUAUUAAGUAAUAUCUGAGGCAA
Acinonyx jubatus (cheetah) is the source of this 1423-nucleotide long non-coding RNA. RefSeq lists it as uncharacterized. The transcript has 4 exons. Lineage: Eukaryota; Metazoa; Chordata; Mammalia; Carnivora; Felidae. The record is from RefSeq and is a predicted model, not a curated record.